GAAUAUUGGACAAUGGGCGCAAGCCUGAUCCAGCCAUACCGCGUGGGUGAAGAAGGCCUUCGGGUUGUAAAGCCCUUUUGUUGGGAAAGAAAAGCAGUCGGCUAAUACCCGGUUGUUCUGACGGUACCCAAAGAAUAAGCACCGGCUAACUUCGUGCCAGCAGCCGCGGUAAUACGACGGGUGCAAGCGUUACUCGGAAUUACUGGGCGUAAAGCGUGCGUAGGUGGUGGCUUAAGUCCGUUGUGAAAGCCCUGGGCUCAACCUGGGAAUUGCAGUGGAUACUGGGUCACUAGAGUGUGGUAGAGGGUGGCGGAAUUCCCGGUGUAGCAGUGAAAUGCGUAGAGAUCGGGAGGAACACCCGUGGCGAAGGCGGCCACCUGGGCCAACACUGACACUGAGGCACGAAAGCGUGGGGAGCAAACAG
This 424-nucleotide ribosomal RNA is filed under the name uncultured bacterium. Its description in RNAcentral is "bacterial SSU rRNA". It matches the Rfam family "Bacterial small subunit ribosomal RNA", at positions 359 to 775 of the family's 1533-position model. The record is from RNAcentral.